This 336-nucleotide unclassified non-coding RNA is filed under the name soil metagenome. RNAcentral's name for it is "partial contains 5.8S ribosomal RNA, internal transcribed spacer 2, and large subunit ribosomal RNA". The stretch from base 1 to 120 matches the Rfam family "5.8S ribosomal RNA", at positions 35 to 154 of the family's 154-position model. The record is from RNAcentral.
GAUGAAGAACGCAGCGAAAUGCGAUAAGUAAUGUGAAUUGCAGAAUUCAGUGAAUCAUCGAAUCUUUGAACGCACAUUGCGCCCGCCAGUAUUCUGGCGGGCAUGCCUGUCCGAGCGUCAUUUCAACCCUCAAGCCCCAGCCGGCUUGGUGUUGGGGACCGGCCCCGGCCGCCCCCCAAAUGCAGUGGCGACCUCGCCGCAGCCUCCCCUGCGUAGUAGCACAACCUCGCACCGGAGCGCGGAGACGGUCACGCCGUAAAACGCCCAACUUCUCAGAGUUGACCUCGGAUCAGGUAGGAAUACCCGCUGAACUUAAGCAUAUCAAUAAGCGGAGGA